This is a long non-coding RNA of Aphis gossypii (cotton aphid), 1975 nucleotides long. RefSeq lists it as uncharacterized. The record is from RefSeq and is a predicted model, not a curated record. NCBI's taxonomy places the organism in Eukaryota, Metazoa, Arthropoda, Insecta, Hemiptera, Aphididae. The transcript is spliced from 4 exons.
AUACUUAGGUAUGUAGGUAUAUUUAAUUGAGCAAUUUCUUAACUAUAGUUAGAGUAGGUGUAUAUUACAUAAAAAAAUAAAUACUUUCACAUGUUAUAAAAUAAGAUAGUUUUAUGAAGUUUUUGCCUCUUACUAACCAUUUUCAUUAAAGAUGAUGUUAAUAUUUUACUAUAUGAAUUUAAUCGUAUGUUCAAAUAUGUAUGGGAAAUUAGGUUUAUUAAUUUUAUCUUAUGUGGUCUUGCAUGUAUGUCCGUUACAUACCAACAAUCUAUUGUUUCAGGAAAAAGAGUUGACGAUAGUGCUAAAGUAUUUUGAACCCAGAGAAUUAUUUUAGUAUCUAUAUUCUUAGAUAACAAUUGUUGCUUAUCAGAAACUAUAGAUUUGAAAUAUGUUUCAGUGGUUUUGAUAAUUCUGAAAACACUUUCUGAUGCUAAUUCUAAGCCUCCUCUGUUCUUUAUUCUUGUUAAAGUUUUGAACGAUUCAUUCUCUAUAUUACAAUAAUUAUGUUCUUGCACAUAUGAAGCAUCUGUUACAGCUUUGAUGCAGUUUUCACAUUGAGAACAAUGAAUCUUCAUGAGAGGUCAGUAAGGAACAAUUUCCAGUUGAUUGUUUAAUUGAAAUGUGCAGCAAAAUACUUCUUAAAGCGUACCUAAAUUGUAGACAGUUAGGAUUAUCAUUAUGUCCAAAACGUCCUCUUACAUGACCAAAAAACAACUCAAGAGCAUCUUGACUUAAUUUUUGCGAAACCAAGAAUAAAAGUUUUCCUCCGACUUUUCCAUAAAUCUACUCCAUCAACAGUUUUUAAAGAAUAUAAAUAUUUGAUUAACUCAGCCAUUCGAUUUUCCAGAUACUGCAGUGAAUCGGCUACAGAACUGCUCAAAGUUUGAACUGCCAACUUUACCUUCAUGCUGUUUGCAUUCCAGUUAAUGUGUGAUGUGCUCAACUUGUUAGCAAAUUUGAACCCAAUCUCACUUUGAAGUUUAUUAAGUUGUUCAAUGUAUCUCCAUUCUAUUAAGUUUCCAUCUUCAUCUUUGAAUGCCUUGAAUGUACCUAAAGCAUUUCUUGCCAACUUAAUAUUAUGACAAGCAUCUGGGGUAAAGUAAAUAUUUGGUGUAUUUGGAUCAAUAUUAAAAUCUGGUUUUAAAUGUUCAAAAGGUUGGUUCAAAUUACAUCCUAAUAUUUGGAAAGAACUAAAAUUGACGUAUGCACCAUCACAUGUAACACUUAACACAUUUAUACCAUAUUUUUGACAUUCUGACACUGCUAUACGAAUUAACUGGGCCUGUACUGAUGAUUUUACCUUAUCCACAAACCAAUAACCUAUAGGCCAUUUCCACGCUUUCUUUAAACUUGAUAACAUAAAUACCAAAACUUCAGAUGCUGGUUGUUCACAGUCUUCAAUUGUUACAUUAUUUCCGUAAUCACAAUAUCCAACAUAUCUUACCCAUUAUAUAAUAAGCAAAAUUAGUAUUUCAAAAUUUCUAAUACAAUAUAAAGUAAUAAAUAAUAAUGAAUACCUUUUACUAGCUUUAUCCCAAUGUACUUCUUUCUUUAUACUCAUAGAGUCUAAUAUCAAGCAACAGUAUUUAUCAACAUCUUCAAAUUUACCUAUUUCCAUUAACACAUCACUUAAAAAUCCAGUAUUUACAUUUACAUUUGACAACCAAUUUCUAAUUGCACUUGGAUUCGGCAAAUGUAUUGAAGACCUGAAUAUAUGAAAUAUGAAUAGUGUAUUGAAAUGAAUUGUCUAGAAUAUAAGUAUUUGAUAUAAUCAUCACUUAUUAGUUAUUACCUUACAAAAUCAUACGCUUUAGGUGAAUAAAAGUAAAGUGUAGUGGCAAAUUUCUUAACAUCUUCACUAUAACGUUUUCCUGAAGAUGGAACCUUACUAUUCCUAAUCAGAUCUUUUAGGAAAAUACUUGUAAAAUUUUUACCUAUUAUUUGUGUUGUCUCAGUAUCAGUUGAGAACUUUAUU